GAUGAAGAACGUAGCGAAAUGCGACACGUAGUGUGAAUUGCAGAAUUCAGUGAAUCAUCGAAUCUUUGAACGCACAUUGCACCUCUCGGUAUUCCGGGAGGUAUGCCUGUUCGAGCGUCAUUUGUACCCUCAAGCUCUGCUUGGUGUUGGGUGUUUGUUCCGCCUCUGUGUGUGAACUCGCCUCAAAACAAUUGGCAGCCGGCGUACUUGUUUCGGAGCGCAGCACAUUUUGCGAUCCAGAUCAACGUACAGCGGCAUCCAAGAAGCCUUAUUUAACGCUCUUGACCUCGGAUCAGGUAGGGAUACCCGCUGAACUUAAGCAUAUCAAUAAGCGGGGGA
RNAcentral lists this unclassified non-coding RNA (339 nucleotides) under soil metagenome. RNAcentral's name for it is "partial contains 5.8S ribosomal RNA, internal transcribed spacer 2, and large subunit ribosomal RNA". The stretch from base 1 to 120 matches the Rfam family "5.8S ribosomal RNA", at positions 35 to 154 of the family's 154-position model. The record is from RNAcentral.